UUUCCUCAUCAUAAAGAUGCAGUAGCCAUAAUUAUUCCAAUCAUCCAAAAGAGAAGACUUUAAAGUACAGUAGUUAGCCAUCAAAAAGAGAAGGCUAAUAUCCAGUUAUGAGAGCAUUUUCCCAAGAUACUUCUCCCCUGGACCUUGUUCCCAGGCUCCGUGUGAAGCUGAACACUCCGCAUGAUCUCCCUGCCACCAUAGCAAGCUAUGAAGUUCAUUACACAUGCAGGUAGCAGACAAUACAGCUCUGCUUCCAUUUCUGAGCACCUACGGUAGACUGCCAUUAUUCAGUGUGCCAGCCUGUUUCCAAGCCUACAAUGUAUAGUUCCUCUAGUACGUAAACUCAUUUUUUUUCUCAGAGAGCCAAGUAGAGACACAGGCAGUUUUCUUCUCAAAAUGUGCCAGAAAUUCCAAAACAAUCUCAAAGCAUUAAAGGCUAUGUGCACA
Molecule: long non-coding RNA, 447 nt
Filed under: Homo sapiens (human)
Lineage: Eukaryota; Metazoa; Chordata; Mammalia; Primates; Hominidae
Description: non-protein coding lnc-LYPD6-2:2
Source: RNAcentral